This 318-nucleotide long non-coding RNA is filed under the name Homo sapiens (human). RNAcentral describes it as "HSALNT0170653". The record is from RNAcentral. Lineage: Eukaryota; Metazoa; Chordata; Mammalia; Primates; Hominidae.
UGUUUUCCAAGUAUUUGAACCAUUUACCUGCGUCCAGUGGUGUCUAAGUGUUCCUGUUAUUCCCAACAAUGGGAGUUCCCCUGCACAAGCUCUCUUACCUACCACCAUGUGAGAUGUGACUUUGCUCCUCCAUCGCCUUCCACCAUGACCAUGAGGCUUCCGCAGCCAUGUGAAACUGGGAUAUUCUUGGCCCUUUGCAUUUCUACCUACAUUUUAAAGUCAUCUUGUCCAUUUCUACCAAAAACUACUGAAAUGUCUGGAAUCGCACUCAAUCUAUAGAUCAAUUUGUGGAGAACGGAUAUGUUGCAACAAUGACUG